UGGGGGAAUUUUGGACAAUGGGCGAAAGCCUGAUCCAGCAAUGCCGCGUGUGUGAAGAAGGCCUUCGGGUUGUAAAGCACUUUUGUCCGGAAAGAAAUCCUUGGCUCUAAUACAGUCGGGGGAUGACGGUACCGGAAGAAUAAGCACCGGCUAACUACGUGCCAGCAGCCGCGGUAAUACGUAGGGUGCAAGCGUUAAUCGGAAUUACUGGGCGUAAAGCGUGCGCAGGCGGUUUGCUAAGACCGAUGUGAAAUCCCCGGGCUCAACCUGGGAACUGCAUUGGUGACUGGCAGGCUAGAGUAUGGCAGAGGGGGGUAGAAUUCCACGUGUAGCAGUGAAAUGCGUAGAGAUGUGGAGGAAUACCGAUGGCGAAGGCAGCCCCCUGGGCCAAAUACUGACGCUCAUGCACGAAAAGCGUGGGGGAGCAAAACAGGAUUAGAUACCCUGGUAGUCCACGCCCUAAAACGAUGUCAACUAGUUGUUGGGGAUUCAUUUCCUUAGUAACGUAGCUAAACGCGUGAAGUUGACCGCCUGGGGGAGUACGGUCGCAAAGAUUAAAAACUCAAAGGAAUUGACGGGGUCAUAGCUGUUUCCU
Molecule: ribosomal RNA, 595 nt
Filed under: uncultured bacterium
Lineage: Bacteria
Description: partial 16S ribosomal RNA
Rfam family: Bacterial small subunit ribosomal RNA
Source: RNAcentral